UCUACAAACCAUACACCCUAAACAGGCUCAAUCUUAUCUAAUCUUGAAAGCUAAGCAGGAUCAGGCCUGGUUAGUACUUGGAUAGGAGAUCAGGGAAGAA
RNAcentral lists this ribosomal RNA (100 nucleotides) under Jaculus jaculus (lesser Egyptian jerboa). The record is from RNAcentral. Lineage: Eukaryota; Metazoa; Chordata; Mammalia; Rodentia; Dipodidae.